This 1593-nucleotide ribosomal RNA is filed under the name Triticum aestivum (bread wheat). Its description in RNAcentral is "partial small subunit ribosomal RNA". The record is from RNAcentral. Lineage: Eukaryota; Viridiplantae; Streptophyta; Magnoliopsida; Poales; Poaceae.
AUGCUCUCUGAAGUACUGAUUCUUAAAGAAUGUCCUAAACUCUUGGAGUUGCCAUGUUUAAGACACAUUCUUUACCCACAGGAGCAAGACUGGAACAUAGAUUGGUUUCCCAAACUACAAGAGCUCGAAAUAGAAAAUUGUCCUGAAGUCUUGUCAUUGCCUCCUAUCCCCUGGACCCGAACUUUAUGCUCUGUGAAGAUAAAACAUGUGGGAUCUAAACUAGUGGAAAAGUUGGAAUACUCAAAAUCAUCUUCUGGGGUAGCAUUGAAAAUUGUUGGAAAGGAGGAUCUGCAUAGCUUAUGUCAGCUAUUAGUAUUCGAUAAAUUAAAAGAGCUUCAGAAAUUGAAAAUUGAGAAAUGCCCAUCUUUGGAGUUGAAGCACCUUGUAAUGCUAACCUCAUUAAAGGAAUUGAUUGCUAAAAGACCAGUUGCUCUGGUUGGGCCAAUAGGAGAUCAUGGUGGUAUUGAAUGGCAGCAUCUUGUCGAGCAUUUUACGAUCAUAUCUUGUGGUGUUAGUGGGAAAGAAUUUAGCCAACUCCUCUCGCACCUCCCAAAGCUCUCUGUAUUGGUAAUAGUAAAUUGUGAAAACAUAACACAAUUGGUUGUUGGGGUGGAUCGACAACAAACAACAAUAGAAGUACCAUCAUCCAGCUCUUUGGAUGUUAAAAUGGAGUAUUCAAGAGCAAAAGGCGAGAAGCAGAAAAUAGUCGAAGAGGAGGAGGAAGAUGAAUUACUGGGAGAAGAGGAGAAAGCAGCAGAGAAAGAUGACGGGUUGUUGGUCUUGCCUGCACAUCUCUAUAACUCUCUACAGAGGUUGAACAUUAAUUCUAUUGGGCGUAAUUGCAUGGUGGUUCCCCCUCUCCAUGCCCUCCAAGCUUUACGCACCCUCGAGCUAGAUGGAUGCUCAUUACCGUCAUAUUCUUCUUCUUGUCACCCUUUCCCUUCCACUUUGUUAGAACUCGUUCUUUGCCAUGUAGAAGGCAUGGAGACGUUGGAGCCCCUCUCAAACCUCACCUGUCUCACUCGAUUAGAUAUAAAUGAUUGUGGAGAUAAUUUAAGAUGGGAGGGCCUGUUGCUUCUCCAUACCCAAGGUCAACUUCGUCAUUUAGUCGUCUGUGGAAGCCCCGAUUUCUUUGUUGGUUUGCAUCCCAGUCCAGGGCUGAAGGAUGAACAAGAGCAGUCGCUUCCCAGUUCCUCCAAACUGGGGUUGCUCAUGACAGAUGAUGUGGCAGGAGUCCUCAUAGCACCCGUCUGCAGCCUCCUCUCUUCCUCCCUCACUCAGUUGUUUAUUUAUGGUGACCAAGAGGUGGGGCACUUCACAAAGGAACAAGAGGAAGCCCUUCAGCUCCUCACCUCCCUCCACGAACUCGAGAUUAUGAAAUGCUACAAGCUGUGGUGCCUCCCUGCAGGGCUAAACAAGCUCACCAACCUCAAAUUAUUAAGGAUCGAUUCAUGUCCAUCUCUCCAGUCACUGCCCAAGGGUGGCCUCCCGAUUUCACUGCAAGGAUUAGAUGUCAGAAAUUGUGGCAGCAUGAAGCUAAAACAGCAGUGCAGGCGGUUAACUGGGACAAUUCUGGAAAUCAUACUUGAGUAA